ACCCACAAGGCAUUGGAAGCAAAGAAUUUCCGAGCUGCAAUAGAAUAUGGGAAGCAAGAUUUUGAAGUUGAGGACGUAAGACUUGAUUUCAAGAAGCACAUGUCAAUGAGUUAUAAGAUAAAUAGUGCUCUCCAGAGGUGUGUUUCUUUAAGCCUCUGCAGGUUUUAAUUUAAAUUCAGCUCCUGUAGUUUUGCAUUUUAAGAUUCUCCCAAUAGAGAAGGGAAUUAAGCAAAUGAGAGAGCCUCAAACAAAAGGAAGCACAGAAGAUGGUAAAUUGCCAAAUGCAAUCAAGGCUGGUGAAGGUGUGACUGCAGCUCUUGACCCACAUUGUUGCCAUGGAAACCAAAGCUCGGUGGUCCUGGAGUGCUUUCCCUUUAAAAGGACAGAUUGGCUUUAGAGAAUAGUU
RNAcentral lists this long non-coding RNA (406 nucleotides) under Homo sapiens (human). RNAcentral describes it as "non-protein coding lnc-GAPT-1:1". Lineage: Eukaryota; Metazoa; Chordata; Mammalia; Primates; Hominidae. The record is from RNAcentral.